Molecule: long non-coding RNA, 711 nt
Organism: Cyprinus carpio (common carp)
Lineage: Eukaryota; Metazoa; Chordata; Actinopteri; Cypriniformes; Cyprinidae
Exons: 4
Source: RefSeq, a predicted model, not a curated record
AAAAUGAAAAUGUGACGGGAAGCUCCUCUGCGAUCCUAUCCUGCUCUUACAGUGACAAACAAACUGAAGUCAAGACAAGAAAAGACUCAAUGACAACAGGAAUGAGACAUUAUUCAGAUAAAUGAUUCACUUGAGAAUCCAGAAUUUUCUCAGAGGAGUUUAAGAAAGGAAGAAUCAUUCUCAUACUCAUUUGCUGCUUCAUCUGUAUACUUUCAGUGCUCAUAACCAAAGUAUCUCUGCAGGACACAGUAGAGGCUAUUAUUGGUGGUUCUGUUGUUCUGCCAUGUUCUUCAACUGAACAUUAUCUUAAACUUCAAGACAUUAUUGUGCACUGGAGACACAAUGGCAGCAAAAUUGUGUAUGAUAUAGUCAAGGGUGAAGAUUCAGUAGUGUUACAGGACCAAGAGUACAAAAACAGAGCUGAAAGUUUCCCGCCUGAGUAUCUGAGACGAAACUUCUCCAUCAAACUCAACAAUCUUGAACAUAUUCAUGCAGGAAAAUACAUCUGUCACAUCACGCCUUCAUCUGAACAGAAGACUGUAGAGCUGAUCAUCAACGAAUCAACAGCAGAAACAGGAAACGAAUCCACUAAUCAAGGAAACCGAGGAGAAGAUACAGUGACAUCACCAUCGUUGCUCUGUGUUUACAUUGUAGUGGCUGUAGUACUCAAAAAUUUUAUUGUGAUUUAAUCGUAGCACCCAUUAUGCAUCU